This 402-nucleotide ribosomal RNA is filed under the name uncultured Clostridium sp. RNAcentral's name for it is "bacterial SSU rRNA". It matches the Rfam family "Bacterial small subunit ribosomal RNA", at positions 355 to 774 of the family's 1533-position model. The record is from RNAcentral. Lineage: Bacteria; Bacillati; Bacillota; Clostridia; Eubacteriales; Clostridiaceae.
UGGGGAAUAUUGCGCAAUGGGGGAAACCCUGACGCAGCAACGCCGCGUGAGUGAUGAAGGUUUUCGGAUCGUAAAACUCUGUCAUUAGGGACGAUAAUGACGGUACCUAAUGAGGAAGCCACGGCUAACUACGUGCCAGCAGCCGCGGUAAUACGUAGGUGGCAAGCGUUGUCCGGAUUUACUGGGCGUAAAGAGUAUGUAGGUGGGCACUUAAGUCAGAUGUGAAAUUCCCGGGCUUAACCUGGGAGCUGCAUUUGAUACUGGGCGUCUAGAGUGCAGGAGAGGAAAGUGGAAUUCCUAGUGUAGCGGUGAAAUGCGUAGAGAUUAGGAAGAACACCAGUGGCGAAGGCGACUUUCUGGACUGUAACUGACACUGAGAUACGAAAGCGUGGGUAGCAAACA